GCUGGAUAGCUCAAUUGGUUAGAGCGUGGUGCUGAUCAUGCCAAGGUCGCAGGUUCGAUCCCCAUAACUGGCAGCU
Non-coding RNA from Podarcis lilfordi (Lilford's wall lizard), 76 nucleotides. The record is from the annotation of a GenBank genome assembly. NCBI's taxonomy places the organism in Eukaryota, Metazoa, Chordata, Lepidosauria, Squamata, Lacertidae.